GUCACCUGCUCUGUAUGUGUGGCUUUCUGUUUGAAAAAAACAGAAUAAAGAAUGGUGUUCUUGGAAAAACAAGUUUGGUAACCCCGGGCUAGAUGCCGGCCCCUCUGGAUUUCUGAUGUAUUGCCUCCCCACCCUGUGGGACGCAUUUGCCCUACACACUAAGUCUCUCCUCCCCACCCCUGCCUCACUCCAGGCACAGGCUGCAUGUGAUUGUGGAUGAGGUCUACAUGCUGUCCGUGUUUGAGAAGUCUGUUGGGUACCGCAGUGUCCUAAGCCUGGAAAGGCUGCCUGACCCCCAGAGGACCCAUGUGAUGUGGGCAACCAGCAAGGACUUCGGGAUGUCUGGGCUCCGCUUUGGCACGCUGUACACAGAAAACCAGGAUGUGGCCACUGCCGUGGCUUCCCUCUGCCGCUACCACGGCCUCAGUGGCUUGGUCCAGUACCAGAUGGCGCAGCUGCUCCGGGACCGUGAUGAGGAAAAUGAGGACCAGAUACUACCCCACUCACUAUAGUAGCUAAAAGUUUUAAAAAUAGUGACAACAUCAAGUGUUGACAAAGAUAAGGAGCAGCUGGAAGUCUCAUACACUGCUGGUAGGAGUACUGGAUCAACCAGGUGUACCUGCCGGAAAACCAUGCCCG
RNAcentral lists this small RNA (639 nucleotides) under Pan troglodytes (chimpanzee). Its description in RNAcentral is "retained intron". The record is from RNAcentral. Lineage: Eukaryota; Metazoa; Chordata; Mammalia; Primates; Hominidae.